UAAUGUAUGGGGAUCUGCCCGAUAGAGGGGGAUAACUACUGGAAACGGUGGCUAAUACCGCAUAAUGUCUACGGACCAAAGCAGGGGCUCUUCGGACCGGUUGCACUAUCGGAUGAACCCAUAUGGGAUUAGCUAGUAGGUGGGGUAAAGGCUCACCUAGGCGACGAUCUCUAGCUGGUCUGAGAGGAUGAUCAGCCACACUGGGACUGAGACACGGCCCAG
This 222-nucleotide ribosomal RNA is filed under the name uncultured bacterium. Its description in RNAcentral is "partial 16S ribosomal RNA". It matches the Rfam family "Bacterial small subunit ribosomal RNA", at positions 111 to 334 of the family's 1533-position model. The record is from RNAcentral.